CCUACGGGAGGCAGCAGUGAGGAAUAUUGGUCAAUGGGCGCGAGCCUGAACCAGCCAAGUCGCGUGAGGGAAGACGGCCCUACGGGUUGUAAACCUCUUUUGCCGGGGAGCAACGGGCGCCACGUGUGGCGCCAUUGAGAGUACCCGGAGAAAAAGCAUCGGCAAACUCCGUGCCAGCAGCCGCGGUAAUACGGGGGAUGCGAGCGUUAUCCGGAUGUAUGGGGUUUAAAGGGUGCGUAGGCGGAGCGUAAAGUCAGUGGCCAAAUUGAGGGGCCAAACCCUUCACCGCCAUUGAAACUGGCGCACUUGAGUGGAAGAGAAGUAUGCGGAAUGCGUGGUGUAGCGGUGGAAUGCAUAGAUAUCACGCAGAACCCCGAUUGCGAAGGCAGCAUGCCGGCUUCCUACUGACGCUGAAGCACGAAAGCGUGGGGAUCGAACAGGAUUAGAUACCCUGGUAGUC
This 460-nucleotide ribosomal RNA is filed under the name uncultured bacterium. RNAcentral's name for it is "partial 16S ribosomal RNA". It matches the Rfam family "Bacterial small subunit ribosomal RNA", at positions 338 to 795 of the family's 1533-position model. The record is from RNAcentral.